This 468-nucleotide ribosomal RNA is filed under the name uncultured bacterium. Its description in RNAcentral is "partial 16S ribosomal RNA". It matches the Rfam family "Bacterial small subunit ribosomal RNA", at positions 28 to 507 of the family's 1533-position model. The record is from RNAcentral.
GACGAACGCUGGCGGCGUGCUUAACACAUGCAAGUCGAACGGAAAGGCCCUGCUUUUGUGGGGUGCUCGAGUGGCGAACGGGUGAGUAACACGUGAGUAACCUGCCCUUGACUUUGGGAUAACUUCAGGAAACUGGGGCUAAUACCGGAUAGGAGCUCCUGCUGCAUGGUGGGGGUUGGAAAGUUUCGGCGGUUGGGGAUGGACUCGCGGCUUAUCAGCUUGUUGGUGGGGUAGUGGCUUACCAAGGCUUUGACGGGUAGCCGGCUUGGGAGGGUGACCGGCCCCAUUGGGCCUGGGAUACCGCCCGUACUCCUUCGGGGGGCAGCAGUGGAGGUUAUUGCGCGAUGGGCGGCAGCCGGAUGGAACAUCUCCGCGUCCUGGAUGACUGCUUUCGGGUUGGAACCCGCGUUCGCCUGUGACGAAGCGUGAGUGACGGUAACGGGUAAAGAAGCACCGGCUAACUACGUG